GUUAGCAUGGUGUAGUGGUUUGGACAUUGGACUACGACUCUGGAGACCAGGGUUCAAAUCCCUGCUUGGCCA
RNAcentral lists this transfer RNA (72 nucleotides) under Phrynosoma platyrhinos (Desert horned lizard). RNAcentral describes it as "tRNA-OTHER". The stretch from base 9 to 72 matches the Rfam family "tRNA". From Rfam's summary of the family: Transfer RNA (tRNA) molecules are approximately 80 nucleotides in length. Their secondary structure includes four short double-helical elements and three loops (D, anti-codon, and T loops). Further hydrogen bonds mediate the characteristic L-shaped molecular structure. tRNAs have two regions of fundamental functional importance: the anti-codon, which is responsible for specific mRNA codon recognition, and the 3' end, to which the tRNAs corresponding amino acid is attached (by aminoacyl-tRNA synthetases). tRNAs cope with the degeneracy of the genetic code in two manners: having more than one tRNA (with a specific anti-codon) for a particular amino acid; and 'wobble' base-pairing, i.e. permitting non-standard base-pairing at the 3rd anti-codon position. Lineage: Eukaryota; Metazoa; Chordata; Lepidosauria; Squamata; Phrynosomatidae. The record is from RNAcentral.